This 2902-nucleotide ribosomal RNA is filed under the name Escherichia coli. RNAcentral's name for it is "23S ribosomal RNA". It matches the Rfam family "Bacterial large subunit ribosomal RNA". The record is from RNAcentral. Lineage: Bacteria; Pseudomonadati; Pseudomonadota; Gammaproteobacteria; Enterobacterales; Enterobacteriaceae.
UUAAGCGACUAAGCGUACACGGUGGAUGCCCUGGCAGUCAGAGGCGAUGAAGGACGUGCUAAUCUGCGAUAAGCGUCGGUAAGGUGAUAUGAACCGUUAUAACCGGCGAUUUCCGAAUGGGGAAACCCAGUGUGAUUCGUCACACUAUCAUUAACUGAAUCCAUAGGUUAAUGAGGCGAACCGGGGGAACUGAAACAUCUAAGUACCCCGAGGAAAAGAAAUCAACCGAGAUUCCCCCAGUAGCGGCGAGCGAACGGGGAGCAGCCCAGAGCCUGAAUCAGUGUGUGUGUUAGUGGAAGCGUCUGGAAAGGCGUGCGAUACAGGGUGACAGCCCCGUACACAAAAAUGCACAUGCUGUGAGCUCGAUGAGUAGGGCGGGACACGUGGUAUCCUGUCUGAAUAUGGGGGGACCAUCCUCCAAGGCUAAAUACUCCUGACUGACCGAUAGUGAACCAGUACCGUGAGGGAAAGGCGAAAAGAACCCCGGCGAGGGGAGUGAAAAAGAACCUGAAACCGUGUACGUACAAGCAGUGGGAGCACAGAGCAAUCUGUGUGACUGCGUACCUUUUGUAUAAUGGGUCAGCGACUUAUAUUCUGUAGCAAGGUUAACCGAAUAGGGGAGCCGAAGGGAAACCGAGUCUUAACUGGGCGUUAAGUUGCAGGGUAUAGACCCGAAACCCGGUGAUCUAGCCAUGGGCAGGUUGAAGGUUGGGUAACACUAACUGGAGGACCGAACCGACUAAUGUUGAAAAAUUAGCGGAUGACUUGUGGCUGGGGGUGAAAGGCCAAUCAAACCGGGAGAUAGCUGGUUCUCCCCGAAAGCUAUUUAGGUAGCGCCUCGUGAAUUCAUCUCCGGGGUAGAGCACUGUUUCGGCAAGGGGGUCAUCCCGACUUACCAACCCGAUGCAAACUGCGAAUACCGGAGAAUGUUAUCACGGGAGACACACGGCGGGUGCUAACGUCCGUCGUGAAGAGGGAAACAACCCAGACCGCCAGCUAAGGUCCCAAAGUCAUGGUUAAGUGGGAAACGAUGUGGGAAGGCCCAGACAGCCAGGAUGUUGGCUUAGAAGCAGCCAUCAUUUAAAGAAAGCGUAAUAGCUCACUGGUCGAGUCGGCCUGCGCGGAAGAUGUAACGGGGCUAAACCAUGCACCGAAGCUGCGGCAGCGACGCUUAUGCGUUGUUGGGUAGGGGAGCGUUCUGUAAGCCUGCGAAGGUGUGCUGUGAGGCAUGCUGGAGGUAUCAGAAGUGCGAAUGCUGACAUAAGUAACGAUAAAGCGGGUGAAAAGCCCGCUCGCCGGAAGACCAAGGGUUCCUGUCCAACGUUAAUCGGGGCAGGGUGAGUCGACCCCUAAGGCGAGGCCGAAAGGCGUAGUCGAUGGGAAACAGGUUAAUAUUCCUGUACUUGGUGUUACUGCGAAGGGGGGACGGAGAAGGCUAUGUUGGCCGGGCGACGGUUGUCCCGGUUUAAGCGUGUAGGCUGGUUUUCCAGGCAAAUCCGGAAAACUAAGGCUGAGGCGUGAUGACGAGGCACUACGGUGCUGAAGCAACAAAUGCCCUGCUUCCAGGAAAAGCCUCUAAGCAUCAGGUAACAUCAAAUCGUACCCCAAACCGACACAGGUGGUCAGGUAGAGAAUACCAAGGCGCUUGAGAGAACUCGGGUGAAGGAACUAGGCAAAAUGGUGCCGUAACUUCGGGAGAAGGCACGCUGAUAUGUAGGUGAAGUCCCUCGCGGAUGGAGCUGAAAUCAGUCGAAGAUACCAGCUGGCUGCAACUGUUUAUUAAAAACACAGCACUGUGCAAACACGAAAGUGGACGUAUACGGUGUGACGCCUGCCCGGUGCCGGAAGGUUAAUUGAUGGGGUUAGCGCAAGCGAAGCUCUUGAUCGAAGCCCCGGUAAACGGCGGCCGUAACUAUAACGGUCCUAAGGUAGCGAAAUUCCUUGUCGGGUAAGUUCCGACCUGCACGAAUGGCGUAAUGAUGGCCAGGCUGUCUCCACCCGAGACUCAGUGAAAUUGAACUCGCUGUGAAGAUGCAGUGUACCCGCGGCAAGACGGAAAGACCCCGUGAACCUUUACUAUAGCUUGACACUGAACAUUGAGCCUUGAUGUGUAGGAUAGGUGGGAGGCUUGGAAGUGUGGACGCCAGUCUGCAUGGAGCCGACCUUGAAAUACCACCCUUUAAUGUUUGAUGUUCUAACGUUGACCCGUGAUCCGGGUUGCGGACAGUGUCUGGUGGGUAGUUUGACUGGGGCGGUCUCCUCCUAAAGAGUAACGGAGGAGCACGAAGGUUGGCUAAUCCUGGUCGGACAUCAGGAGGUUAGUGCAAUGGCAUAAGCCAGCUUGACUGCGAGCGUGACGGCGCGAGCAGGUGCGAAAGCAGGUCAUAGUGAUCCGGUGGUUCUGAAUGGAAGGGCCAUCGCUCAACGGAUAAAAGGUACUCCGGGGAUAACAGGCUGAUACCGCCCAAGAGUUCAUAUCGACGGCGGUGUUUGGCACCUCGAUGUCGGCUCAUCACAUCCUGGGGCUGAAGUAGGUCCCAAGGGUAUGGCUGUUCGCCAUUUAAAGUGGUACGCGAGCUGGGUUUAGAACGUCGUGAGACAGUUCGGUCCCUAUCUGCCGUGGGCGCUGGAGAACUGAGGGGGGCUGCUCCUAGUACGAGAGGACCGGAGUGGACGCAUCACUGGUGUUCGGGUUGUCAUGCCAAUGGCACUGCCCGGUAGCUAAAUGCGGAAGAGAUAAGUGCUGAAAGCAUCUAAGCACGAAACUUGCCCCGAGAUGAGUUCUCCCUGACUCCUUGAGAGUCCUGAAGGAACGUUGAAGACGACGACGUUGAUAGGCCGGGUGUGUAAGCGCAGCGAUGCGUUGAGCUAACCGGUACUAAUGAACCGUGAGGCUUAACCU